This 74-nucleotide transfer RNA is filed under the name uncultured bacterium. RNAcentral describes it as "tRNA-His". It matches the Rfam family "tRNA". From Rfam's summary of the family: Transfer RNA (tRNA) molecules are approximately 80 nucleotides in length. Their secondary structure includes four short double-helical elements and three loops (D, anti-codon, and T loops). The record is from RNAcentral.
GUGACUGUAGCUCAGUUGGUAGAGCACCGGAUUGUGGCUCCGGGGGUCGAGGGUUCGAAGCCCUUCAGUCACCC